This 678-nucleotide ribosomal RNA is filed under the name uncultured bacterium. Its description in RNAcentral is "bacterial SSU rRNA". It matches the Rfam family "Bacterial small subunit ribosomal RNA", at positions 52 to 717 of the family's 1533-position model. The record is from RNAcentral.
CACAUGCAAGUCGAGGGGAAACGACAUCGAAAGUUUGCUUUUGAUGGGCGUCGACCGGCGCACGGGUGAGUAACGCGUAUCCAACCUGCCCACCACUUGGGGAUAACCUUGCGAAAGUAAGACUAAUACCCAAUGAUAUCUCUAGAAGACAUCUGAAAGAGAUUAAAGAUUUACCGGUGAUGGAUGGGGAUGCGUCUGAUUAGCUUGUUGGCGGGGUAACGGCCCACCAAGGCAACGAUCAGUAGGGGCUCUGAGAGGAAGGUCCCCCACAUUGGAACUGAGACACGGUCCAAACUCCUACGGGAGGCAGCAGUGAGGAAUAUUGGUCAAUGGACGAGAGUCUGAACCAGCCAAGUAGCGUGCAGGAUGACGGCCCUAUGGGUUGUAAACUGCUUUUAUAAGGGAAUAAAGUGAGUCUCGUGAGACUUUUUGCAUGUACCUUAUGAAUAAGGACCGGCUAAUUCCGUGCCAGCAGCCGCGGUAAUACGGAAGGUCCGGGCGUUAUCCGGAUUUAUUGGGUUUAAAGGGAGCGUAGGCCGGAGAUUAAGCGUGUUGUGAAAUGUAGAUGCUCAACAUCUGCACUGCAGCGCGAACUGGUUUCCUUGAGUACGCACAAAGUGGGCGGAAUUCGUGGUGUAGCGGUGAAAUGCUUAGAUAUCACGAAGAACUCCGAUUGCG